RNAcentral lists this ribosomal RNA (137 nucleotides) under uncultured bacterium. Its description in RNAcentral is "partial 16S ribosomal RNA". It matches the Rfam family "Bacterial small subunit ribosomal RNA", at positions 395 to 524 of the family's 1533-position model. The record is from RNAcentral.
UGCCGCGUGUGUGAAGAAGGCUCUAGGGUUGUAAAGCACUUUCNGUANGGAGGAAAUGUUAACGGUUAAUAACCGUUAGCUUUGACGUUACCUACAGAAGAAGCACCGGCAAACUCCGUGCCAGCAGCCGCGGUAAU